Molecule: ribosomal RNA, 390 nt
Filed under: uncultured bacterium
Lineage: Bacteria
Description: bacterial SSU rRNA
Rfam family: Bacterial small subunit ribosomal RNA
Source: RNAcentral
GACGAACGCUGGCGGCGUGCUUAACACAUGCAAGUCGAGCGGUAAGGCCCUUUCGGGGGUACACGAGCGGCGAACGGGUGAGUAACACGUGGGUGACCUGCCUCUAGCUCUGGGAUAAGCCUGGGAAGCUGGGUCUAAUACCGGAUAUGACCUCGCGGUGCAUGUUGCGGGGUGGAAAGCCUUGUGCGGCUAGGGAUGGGCCCGCGGCCUAUCAGCUUGUUGGUGGGGUGANGGCCUACCAAGGCGACGACGGGUAGCCGGCCUGAGAGGGCGACCGGCCACACUGGGACUGAGACACGGCCCAGACUCCUACGGGAGGCGGGCAGUGGGGAAUCUUGCGCAAAUGGGCGAAAGCCUGACGCAGCGACGCCGCGUGAGGGAUGACGGCCU